Molecule: small nucleolar RNA, 91 nt
Filed under: Capitella teleta
Lineage: Eukaryota; Metazoa; Annelida; Polychaeta; Capitellidae
Description: small nucleolar RNA SNORD14
Source: RNAcentral
AGAUCAUGAUGAAGUCCUAUAAAUCAUCCGCAGUGUUUCCUAAAGCUUUGGCUAAUGACGGAUUGAUUUUCUUCCUUGGAUGUCUGAAUCU